AGACUGUUCCACACACGAUCCCACCCUCCCCUCUCCCCUAUAAAUCCUCCUCUCAACCUCAUGUUCAUCCUCACUCAUCACCCACACAGCGUGCACAACACAAACACAAACACAGAUCGAUCGAGAUCCAGAGCAACCAGGAGCAAUGGCGGGCGAGAAGGGCCUGGUGCUGCUGGACUUCUGGGUGAGCCCGUUCGGGCAGCGCGUCCGCAUCGCGCUGGCGGAGAAGGGCCUGCCCUACGAGUACGCGGAGGAGGACCUGAUGGCCGGCAAGAGCGACCGCCUCCUCCGCGCCAACCCGGUGCACAAGAAGAUCCCGGUGCUCCUCCACGACGGCCGCCCCGUCAACGAGUCCCUCAUCAUCCUCCAGUACCUGGAGGACGCCUUCCCGGACGCCCCGGCACUGCUCCCCUCCGACCCCUACGCGCGCGCGCAGGCCCGCUUCUGGGCCGACUACGUCGACAAGAAGGUCUACGACUGCGGCUCCCGCCUCUGGAAGCUCAAGGGCGAGCCGCAGGCGCAGGCGCGCGCCGAGAUGCUGGACAUCCUCAAGACCCUCGACGGCGCGCUCGGGGACAAGCCCUUCUUCGGCGGCGACAAGUUCGGGUUCGUCGACGCCGCCUUCGCGCCCUUCACCGCGUGGUUCCACAGCUACGAGAGGUACGGCGAGUUCAGCCUGCCGGAGGUGGCGCCCAAGAUCGCGGCGUGGGCCAAGCGCUGCGGCGAGCGGGAGAGCGUCGCCAAGAGCCUCUACUCGCCGGACAAGGUGUACGACUUCAUCGGCCUGCUCAAGAAGAAGUACGGCAUCGAGUAGCCGCGCGGACGGACGGGCGGCCAUGCAUGCGCCAUCCCGCCGGCCGGCCAAUAAAUCAGGGAGCGUUUGGGUGGCCUACAGUGCGUACGUUUCGGAUAUUGAUUUCUUCGUGGAGUCUAGUGUUCGUGCGUGUGUGGUUGGUGGUAGUUGUUUGGUUUUGUUAGUGUGAGUGCGUCGUGGGUGCCGUGUACUCCUGUGUGUGUGUCAAGUGUUGCCACCUGCGAUUCCAUUUUCAUUCCGUGCGAUGAAUAAAUUAAGAAGGGGUCUUCUGGACGCGUCUAGCGGGCGCACGGCCGCCUAGGAUGCUUAGCGAGCGGCCCGACACUUCAGAUAAUUUCUUGUCUCUCCUUUUAACUAGAAUAGUCAUCUAGUAGUCCCUUUUUCUGCUAUGUAUUAAAUGUCAACAUAUGUAUCUCCUCCUAUGCAUGUGUUUGUUCGUAUUUAUUUUGUGAUUUUAAAAUUUAAAAAGGCAUAACUUUCAAUCCGUGUCUUAAAAUUAAGAUCCGUUUUCACCGUUGAAACUCUUGCGACGUGCUCUUUAAAAGUAGAUCCUACAUGGGAUGUUUUGAUGAACUAGUCUUCCUGCCAGCUAAAUAUCAAUAUGUGUGCAACUAGACUACAUGCCGCGCCAAAUGAGUAUGUGUGUCAAUUGUCCUUUUGCUAACUAAACAUCAAUGUGUGUGCAACUAGACUACAUUGCCGCGCCAACUGAGCAUAUGUGUGUGCCAAUAAUCCUGCCAACUAAACAUCAAUGUGUGUACAACUAGACUAUAUUGGCGCGUCAAUUGCGCAUAUGUGUGUGCAAUUAGUGUCCUGCCAACUGAACAUCAGUAUGUGUGCAACUAGACUAAAUUACAAGCCAACUAAGCAUAAGUGUGUGCAACUAGUCCUUCUGCCAAUUAAACAUCAAUGUGUGUAACUAUACUACAUUACAAGCCAACUAAACAUCAAUGUGUGUGCAACUAGACUAUAUUACAAGCCAACUGAGCACAAAGUAGCUGAAUAUAAAACACCCCGAUUACAUCAAGCUCCGUCAGGUCUGCUGCGGCACUGUCGGACGCGUUGAGGAGGUUGGACUUGAGCGCGGUCAGGCUCUCGGGGAAGAGGAGGGGCCGGAGUCGGAGGAUGUCGUCGGAGAGAGGAGUUUGCG
Molecule: ribosomal RNA, 1964 nt
Filed under: Triticum aestivum (bread wheat)
Lineage: Eukaryota; Viridiplantae; Streptophyta; Magnoliopsida; Poales; Poaceae
Description: partial small subunit ribosomal RNA
Source: RNAcentral